AAUCAACGCUGGCGGCGUGCCUCAGACAUGCAAGUCGAACGAUUAAAGCUCUCUUCGGAGAGUGUAUAGAGUGGCGCACGGGUGAGUAACACGUAAGUAAUCUACCCUCGAGUGGGGAAUAACAACCGGAAACGGUUGCUAAUACCGCAUAAUGCAGCGGCACCGCAAGGUGACAGUUGUUAAAGAUUUAUCGCUUGAGGAGGAGCUUGCGGCAGAUUAGCUAGUUGGUAGGGUAACGGCUUACCAAGGCUACGAUCUGUAACCGGUCUAAGAGGACGGUCGGUCACACUGACACUGAAUAACGGGUCAGACUCCUACGGGAGGCACGNAGUCGGGAAUUU
This 341-nucleotide ribosomal RNA is filed under the name uncultured bacterium. RNAcentral's name for it is "bacterial SSU rRNA". It matches the Rfam family "Bacterial small subunit ribosomal RNA", at positions 32 to 364 of the family's 1533-position model. The record is from RNAcentral.